GGCCGGUCUCAAGGUAGCGCGUUACUGCAAUUCAUUGCUCACAGUUACAGAUCACAAAACUCCGUGUUCUACUCUGGCCUCCCUUCUCACUACGGCACUUGACUAGUCUAAA
Molecule: non-coding RNA, 112 nt
Filed under: Propithecus coquereli (Coquerel's sifaka)
Lineage: Eukaryota; Metazoa; Chordata; Mammalia; Primates; Indriidae
Source: RNAcentral